GAUGAAGAACGUAGCGAAAUGCGAUAAGUAAUGUGAAUUGCAGAAUUCAGUGAAUCAUCGAAUCUUUGAACGCACAUUGCGCCCGCCAGUAUUCUGGCGGGCAUGCCUGUUCGAGCGUCAUUUCAACCCUCAGGCCCCCAGUGCCUGGUGUUGGGGAUCGGCCCAGCCUUCCUGUAAGGCCGCCGGCCCCGAAAUCUAGUGGCGGUCUCGCUGUAGUCCUCCUCUGCGUAGUAGCACAACCUUGCAGUUGGAACGCGGCGGUGGCCAUGCCGUUAAACACCCCACUUCUGAAAGUUGACCUCGGAUCAGGUAGGAAUACCCGCUGAACUUAAGCAUAUCAAUAAGCGGAGGA
RNAcentral lists this unclassified non-coding RNA (352 nucleotides) under soil metagenome. RNAcentral describes it as "partial contains 5.8S ribosomal RNA, internal transcribed spacer 2, and large subunit ribosomal RNA". The stretch from base 1 to 120 matches the Rfam family "5.8S ribosomal RNA", at positions 35 to 154 of the family's 154-position model. The record is from RNAcentral.